UGCAAGCUGAGCGGUAGAGUUCCUUCGGGGACUUGAGAGCGGCGUACGGGUGCGGAACACGUGUGCAACCUGCCUUUAUCAGGGGGAUAGCCUUUCGAAAGGAAGAUUAAUACCCCAUAAUAUAUAGAGUGGCAUCGCUUUAUAUUGAAAACUCCGGUGGAUAAAGAUGGGCACGCGCAAGAUUAGAUAGUUGGUGAGGUAACGGCUCACCAAGUCGAUGAUCUUUAGGGGGCCUGAGAGGGUGAUCCCCCACACUGGUACUGAGACACGGACCAGACUCCUACGGGAGGCAGCAGUGAGGAAUAUUGGACAAUGGGUUAGCGCCUGAUCCAGCCAUCCCGCGUGAAGGACGACGGCCCUAUGGGUUGUAAACUUCUUUUGUACAGGGAUAAACCUAUCUACGUGUAGAUAGCUGAAGGUACUGUACGAAUAAGCACCGGCUAACUCCGUGCCAGCAGCCGCGGUAAUACGGAGGGUGCAAGCGUUAUCCGGAUUUAUUGGGUUUAAAGGGUCCGUAGGCGGAUGUGUAAGUCAGUGGUGAAAUCUCACAGCUUAACUGUGAAACUGCCAUUGAUACUGCAUGUCUUGAGUAAGGUAGAAGUGGCUGGAAUAAGUAGUGUAGCGGUGAAAUGCAUAGAUAUUACUUAGAACACCAAUUGCGAAGGCAGGUCACUAUGUCUUAACUGACGCUGAUGGACGAAAGCGUGGGGAGCGAACAGGAUUAGAUACCCUGGUAGUCCACGCUGUAAACGAUGCUUACUCGUUUUUGGGGAUUUAUCUUCAGAGACUAAGCGAAAGUGAUAAGUAAGCCACCUGGGGAGUACGAACGCAAGUUUGAAACUCAAAGGAAUUGACGGGGGCCCGCACAAGCGGUGGAUUAUGUGGUUUAAUUCGAUGAUACGCGAGGAACCUUACCAAGGCUUAAAUGGGAAUUGAUCGGUUUAGAAAUAGACCUUCCUUCGGGCAAUUUUCA
This 973-nucleotide ribosomal RNA is filed under the name Chryseobacterium sp. RNAcentral describes it as "bacterial SSU rRNA". It matches the Rfam family "Bacterial small subunit ribosomal RNA", at positions 56 to 1035 of the family's 1533-position model. The record is from RNAcentral. Lineage: Bacteria; Pseudomonadati; Bacteroidota; Flavobacteriia; Flavobacteriales; Weeksellaceae.